RNAcentral lists this ribosomal RNA (1428 nucleotides) under uncultured bacterium. RNAcentral's name for it is "bacterial SSU rRNA". It matches the Rfam family "Bacterial small subunit ribosomal RNA". The record is from RNAcentral.
AGAGUUUGAUCCUGGCUCAGGAUGAACGCUGGCGGCGUGCCUAAUACAUGCAAGUUGAACGAAACUUCUUUAUCACCGAGUGCUUGCACUCACCGAUAAAGAGUUGAGUGGCGAACGGGUGAGUAACACGUGGGCAACCUGCCCAAAAGAGGGGGAUAACACUUGGAAACAGGUGCUAAUACCGCAUAACCAUAGUUACCGCAUGGUAACUAUGUAAAAGGUGGCUAUGCUACCGCUUUUGGAUGGGCCCGCGGCGCAUUAGCUAGUUGGUGAGGUAAAGGCUUACCAAGGCAAUGAUGCGUAGCCGAACUGAGAGGUUGAUCGGCCACAUUGGGACUGAGACACGGCCCAAACUCCUACGGGAGGCAGCAGUAGGGAAUCUUCCACAAUGGGCGAAAGCCUGAUGGAGCAACGCCACGUGGGUGAAGAAGGUCUUCGGAUCGUAAAACCCUGUUGUUAGAGAAGAAAGUGCGUGAGAGUAACUGUUCACGUUUCGACGGUACCUAACCAGAAAGCCACGGCUAACUACGUGCCAGCAGCCGCGGUAAUACGUAGGUGGCAAGCGUUAUCCGGAUUUAUUGGGCGUAAAGGGAACGCAGGCGGUCUUUUAAGUCUGAUGUGAAAGCCUUCGGCUUAACCGGAGUAGUGCAUUGGAAACUGGGAGACUUGAGUGCAGAAGAGGAGAGUGGAACUCCAUGUGUAGCGGUGAAAUGCGUAGAUAUAUGGAAGAACACCAGUGGCGAAAGCGGCUCUCUGGUCUGUAACUGACGCUGAGGUUCGAAAGCGUGGGUAGCAAACAGGAUUAGAUACCCUGGUAGUCCACGCCGUAAACGAUGAAUGCUAAGUGUUGGGAGGGUUUCCGCCCUUCAGUGUUGUAGCUAACGCAAUAAGCAUUCCGCCUGGGGAGUACAACCGCAAGGGUUGAAACUCAAAAGAAUAUGACGGGGGCCGCGCACAAGCGGUGGAGCAUGUGGUUUAAUUUGAAGCAACGCGAAGAACCUUACCAGGUCUUGACAUCUUCUGACAAUCCUAGAGAUAGGACUUUCCUUUCGGGGACAGAAUGACAGGUGGUGCAUGGUCGUCGUCAGCUCGUGUCGUGAGAUGUUGGGUUAAGUCCCGCAACGAGCGCAACCCUUAUUGUUAGUUGCCAGCAUUAAGUUGGGCACUCUAGCAAGACUGCCGGUGACAAACCGGAGGAAGGUGGGGAGGACGUCAAAUCAUCAUGCCCCUUAUGACCUGGGCUACACACGUGCUACAAUGGACGGUACAACGAGUCGCGAGACCGCGAGGUUUAGCAAAUCUCUUAAAGCCGUUCUCAGUUCGGAUUGUAGGCUGCAACUAGAACUACAUGAAGUCGGAAUCGCUAGUAAUCGCGGAUCAGCAUGCCGCGGUGAAUACGUUCCCGGGCCCCCCAAAAACCGCCCGUCA